RNAcentral lists this ribosomal RNA (253 nucleotides) under uncultured bacterium. Its description in RNAcentral is "partial 16S ribosomal RNA". It matches the Rfam family "Bacterial small subunit ribosomal RNA", at positions 524 to 776 of the family's 1533-position model. The record is from RNAcentral.
UACGGAGGGAGCUAGCGUUAUUCGGAAUUACUGGGCGUAAAGCGCACGUAGGCGGCUUUGUAAGUAAGAGGUGAAAGCCCAGAGCUCAACUCUGGAAUUGCCUUUUAGACUGCAUCGCUUGAAUCAUGGAGAGGUCAGUGGAAUUCCGAGUGUAGAGGUGAAAUUCGUAGAUAUCGGGAGGAACACCGGUGGCGAAGGCGGCGAUCUGGGUCGAUACUGACGCUGAGGUGCGAAAGCGUGGGGAGCAAACAGG